GACGAACGCUGGCGGCGUGCCUAAUACAUGCAAGUAGAACGCACAGUUAUACCGUAGCUUGCUACACCAUAGACUGUGAGUUGCGAACGGGUGAGUAACGCGUAGGUAACCUGCCUGGUAGCGGGGGAUAACUAUUGGAAACGAUAGCUAAUACCGCAUAAUAUUAAUUAUUGCAUGAUAAUUAAUUGAAAGGUGCAAUUGCACCACUACCAGAUGGACCUGCGUUGUAUUAGCUAGUAGGUGAGGUAACGGCUCACCUAGGCGACGAUACAUAGCCGACCUGAGAGGGUGAUCGGCCACACUGGGACUGAGACACGGCCCAGACUCCUACGGGAGGCAGCAGUAGGGAAUCUUCGGCAAUGGACGAAAGUCUGACCGAGCAACGCCGCGUGAGUGAAGAAGGUUUUCGGAUCGUAAAGCUCUGUUGUAAGAGAAGAACGGGUGUGAGAGUGGAAAGUUCACACUGUGACGGUAUCUUACCAGAAAGGGACGGCUAACUACGUG
RNAcentral lists this ribosomal RNA (504 nucleotides) under uncultured bacterium. RNAcentral's name for it is "partial 16S ribosomal RNA". It matches the Rfam family "Bacterial small subunit ribosomal RNA", at positions 28 to 507 of the family's 1533-position model. The record is from RNAcentral.